Non-coding RNA from Chiloscyllium plagiosum (whitespotted bambooshark), 438 nucleotides. Lineage: Eukaryota; Metazoa; Chordata; Chondrichthyes; Orectolobiformes; Hemiscylliidae. The record is from RefSeq and is a predicted model, not a curated record.
CAUUUCACUUGUAACUAAAGUGUACUGGAGAAUCCUGUUUUGAAGUUCCAAUGGCAACGCUACAUUUGGAGGGAGAAGAAUACUUUUAGGAGGGCCAAAAUGGAUGUCAUCACUUGUCCACUGGUGAAGAAGAGUAAACAGCAUAUUAUUUAAAUGAAGGACAAUUGUAGAACAAAAGAUGUUCCCAGAUUUGUUGAAUGUUUCAAGCAUCCUGAUUUUAGUUCAUAUUUCCAGCAUUCACGCUUGUCUUGCUAAUUGCACCAUUUUUGAUAAAGUAUCAAGGACUAAGAAAUUUGCAAGGAUUUCUUCUUCCAAGACCCCAACUACAACCUGAUCUCUAGCCAAGAUCUCGAGUCUUUUCAUGUCUCAUAUUUGCCAUUGUCUGCUAAACGGUAUAGGUAAUUAAUAGAUGAAUAUAUGCAUUUCCCUGGCUUUUGU